RNAcentral lists this unclassified non-coding RNA (400 nucleotides) under soil metagenome. Its description in RNAcentral is "partial contains 5.8S ribosomal RNA, internal transcribed spacer 2, and large subunit ribosomal RNA". The stretch from base 1 to 122 matches the Rfam family "5.8S ribosomal RNA", at positions 35 to 154 of the family's 154-position model. The record is from RNAcentral.
GAUGAAGAACGCAGCGAAAUGCGAUACUUGGUGUGAAUUGCAGAAUCCCGUGAACCAUCGAGUCUUUGAACGCAAGUUGCGCCUCAAGCCAUUAGGUUGAGGGCACGUCUGCCUGGGCGUCACAUAUCGUUGCCUGAUGCCAGUUUCCUCGUGAUGGGUGACUGUGCAGGGCGAAUGAUGGCUUCCCGUGAGCAUUGUUGCCUCAUGGUUGGUUGAAAAUUGAGUCCUUGGUAGGGAGCGCCGUGAUAGAUGGUGGUUGAGUGACGAACGAGACCCAAUCAUGUGAGACCCCUACCGAAUUUGGCCUUCAUGACCCACGUGCGUCUUUGGAACGCUCAUGACGAGACCUCAGGUCAGGCGGGGCUACCCGCUGAGUUUAAGCAUAUCAAUAAGCGGAGGA